CUUAAGCAUGCAAGUCGAGCGGGCUUAUUCGGGCAACUGGAUAAGUUAGCGGCGAACUGGUGAGUAACACGUAGGUAAUCUGCCGUAGAGUGGGGGAUAACCCAUGGAAACAUGGACUAAUACCGCAUAUACUCUUGACGCUAAAGCGUAGUAGAGGAAAGGAGCAAUCCGCUUUACGAUGAGCCUGCGGCCUAUUAGCCU
This 201-nucleotide ribosomal RNA is filed under the name uncultured Brachyspira sp. RNAcentral describes it as "partial 16S ribosomal RNA". It matches the Rfam family "Bacterial small subunit ribosomal RNA", at positions 48 to 247 of the family's 1533-position model. The record is from RNAcentral. Lineage: Bacteria; Pseudomonadati; Spirochaetota; Spirochaetia; Brachyspirales; Brachyspiraceae.